UACGGGGGGGGCAAGCGUUGUUCGGAAUUACUGGGCGUAAAGGGCGCGUAGGCGGCCAUCUAAGUCAGACGUGAAAUCCCUCGGCUCAACCGAGGAACUGCGUCUGAUACUGGAUGGCUUGAGAUUGGGAGAGGGAUGCGGAAUUCCAGGUGUAGCGGUGAAAUGCGUAGAUAUCUGGAGGAACACCGGUGGCGAAGGCGGCAUCCUGGACCAACACUGACGCUGAGGAGCGAAAGCCAGGGGAGCAAACGGG
This 253-nucleotide ribosomal RNA is filed under the name uncultured bacterium. Its description in RNAcentral is "partial 16S ribosomal RNA". It matches the Rfam family "Bacterial small subunit ribosomal RNA", at positions 524 to 776 of the family's 1533-position model. The record is from RNAcentral.